Molecule: unclassified non-coding RNA, 5441 nt
Filed under: Anneissia japonica
Lineage: Eukaryota; Metazoa; Echinodermata; Crinoidea; Comatulida; Comatulidae
Description: uncharacterized protein DDB_G0290685-like, transcript variant X3
Source: RNAcentral
GUUAAGUAGUCCAACACAUCAUCAACAAACAUGGCUGGUAACGGAGUUUCGAGGGGGCACAUUCGGCCAGGAAAAACACCACAAUUUCUAACAAUUGGUUUACUUUUAGUAAUAUGUAUACUUACAUUUAAUUACUGGAAUGUUUCAUCAAGAGGGAAAGCUCUACAAAAAGAGGUUAAAGAGAUGACAGACACGUUAGAGGAGCUUGCUGUUAAAAAGGUCCACCUAGAAAAACGAAGCACAGCACUACAGAACCAGAUAACCGAAGUUAACCACUUAAACGAGGAGCUACGCUCCCUGAAACUUAGUGCCGACAAUCAAAAAGAUAAAUUUGAAAGAGACUUAGAAAGUUUGAAAGAAGAACUUGCAUAUAUAAAGCAAGAGAGAGACUCUUAUCGAGAUGCUAUUGUACACCUCCAAGGAAACUACACUGAUGCUAUGAGAAAGCUAGAUAGUACAAGAAAUGAGUUUGAUAAUAUGCGUCAAGAGUUUGAGAAAUACCAGGAGAUGCAUGAAACACACAACAAACAACACAAUGAGGAUGUUCUCAGGACACAAGACCAGCUGCAAGAAUGUGAAGUACAACGUCAACAGGCCCUUACGGUGAAGGACAACCUGCAAGCAACUUUACAUUCUCUUCAGGCGGAACUACAGCAGGUGCGAAACCAAUAUCGUGCCGUUCAACGUGAAGGUUAUCAGCAGUUCAACAACCAGCAGCAGUAUAAUCUUGGCCAGACACAGCAACUUCCUGCCGGACAACAACAACAACAACAACUACAACAACAACUACUGCUACAACAACAGGGAAAUGUUUUGAGGAAUCCUACAUAUGGGCAGCAAAUCGGGCAACAACAGCAGCAGAACAUGUUAAACCCUCAAGAUGAUAAGAAUCAGUACAACUUCCAACAGAAUGUGAAGACCAACCAGUAUAACCCAAACCCACCUGUUGUCAAGGCAGAAACUGAACUUGUCAAUCAACUGCCUCAACUACCACAACAAGAAAUUCAAGAAGAAGAGAAAAAAGAGGGAAAUGAACCUGUAGAAGAACAGAAAGUUGAGGAAACACAACAGGAACAAGGCCAAGAUCCUGGGCCUCCACAGAUGGAGGUCAAUGAUGAAAAGGUAAACGUUCCAAAUGAAGAAACUGGCAGCAAAGAAAAUAAGAAUGAAGAAGAAAAUAAGAAUGAAGAAAAAAAUGAAGAAGAGGAAGAAAACCGGCAGCAAGAUAUGGCAAAUGGUGGAGAUGAAGAUGAUGAAGAAAAUUUGGACGAGGAGGAAAAACUGGUAGAUGAGAGAGACAGGGCACAGGGUUCACAUGGCGAGAGAGUGGAUGGCGAUGAACAAAAUGAAGAUGCAGCUUAUCGUGAUGCACAGUUGGCCGCAGAGAAAGAAGACGAAAAUGAUAGUGACAAAGGAGAUGAUAACGAGAUUAGGAAUGAGGUGCAGGAUGAGCAAGUUGUAUUAGAUGCAAAUCCCGUGCCAUUGUUUAAUGAAGAUGAAGUUCAAAAGGAUGGUUUAAUAGCAGAGAGCAAGGAUUAUGCAGAGUGGGAAGAACUAGAUGGUGUUAACAAAGAUGAGAAUGGAGGGGAAGAAGAGAAUGGAGGGGAAGAAGAGAAUGGAGGGGAAGAGGAGAAUGGAGGGGAAGAGAAUGGAGAAGAAGAAGAAGAAGAAGAAGAGGAAGGGAAUGUAGGGGAAGAAGAGAAUGGAGAAGGAGGGGAAGAUGAGGAAGAGAUUGAUGUACCAGACAAUUUUGAAGCUCAAUAUAGAAACAAAGGGGAUAAUGACCAGAACAAAGAUGAUGCUAAUGAUGCUCAUGACAUGGGGGAUAAUGGUAAUCAAGACAAUGAUGACUAUGCAUAAUCAUCAUAUUAAGGACUUUGCAGUUAAAAGUCCUUGGUCAUAUUAAGCAAUAUAGUUCCUUUUUAGUUUAAAUUCUUAUGUUUAAAAAAUAGAUCUAAAUAAUGUUGUGGGUUGUUUCAGUCUUUCAGUUAGAUAUACAAAAAUAUUUAGUUGAUUUUGUCACACAGAUGUCCAUAAAUUAUAUUAAUUAUAACAUGCACCUCAUAACAUUGUGUCUGCAUUUUGCAAAGGGAAAUCGUUUUGUAAACACAUGUAUUUUUGUAUUCAAGCUUUUUGAUCAAAAGACUUCAAUGAUAAAUUUAGUGAAUACAAGAUCGUUAUAACGAGUUUAUGUUACAAAAUUCAAUAAUAGGGUUAGUUAUUAAAUAAGCAUUUCUAGCAGUUAUUAUUAUUAUUAUUGUUGUUAAUUAUUGUUGGUGAUUAAUGGUGCAGUAUUCUGGACAUAUUGUAUUGUAUUUGCUUUUUUCAGUUUGUAGCUAAAGGCCAACAGACAGCGUUGUAUGAUGCAGCCCUACGUUACUCAUCGUCACGAACAGUCUUAAGCUGUCGUGAGAAAUAUUUAAAAUGUUUAAAAUUCUAUGACUCGACUGUUCCCGAUGCAAACCCUUGCAUCUGCAUUUAACUUGCACUGACACGACACAGCAACAAAUCAUGUCGAGCUGCAUCGUAUGACGCUGUCUUGAGUUGGCCUUAACUAUACAUUUUAGUUAUAGCAUACCUUUUCAAUAAUGUUAAGUAGGUACAAAUAUAAUAUACUAUGUAUCUACAUCAUUAGAUUUUAAAUAAAUAUUUAAUUAUAUCAAAGGACCAUACAGUAUAUGGUAUUGACAUUUUCCAGUCCUAAUGAUAAGACAUCUCAGGCGCGUACCGUGAAAGAAAGUGCCCUUUAAAUAUGCUCGCUUCACUCACAAAUAACGCACCCCGCGAAUUCUGAAAGCUUCGCUAAAUUGCUCCGAGUUCAGCUCGCCCCCUGCGCUUUCGUUUCGAACCCCCUUAGAUUUUUCACCGUACGCCCCUGCAUCUUGUUAUUAUAUUCAGGGCUCACAGUGUUAGGGAAAUUUGGUACCUUUGAUAUAAGUAGUUAUAACUAGAUUACUAGGUGAUACCUUGGAUUACUGCAAUAAUAAUCUACUUAACUAGCUGACAGUUUUAAGUCUUCUUAUAGACACUGAGGUUGAUUUUUUUUUUUAAGUAUUAAGCCGGGCACUCACUACGCACGACGCCAUUCUAUCAAGAACGCAACGCGACGACACGCGCGCAACAGAUCAUUUUUAAUGACGAUCUGUUCAGACUGCUGCUGAAAAUCGGUAGACGGCGUCGCGUUGUCCAUCGCUCGCAGAGAGCAGUGUUAGAUUCAUCAUGCGACGGUCGUACAACGUAAUGAGUGGCUGGCUUUACAGGUACAGUAGUUGCUUUGUAAUGGUUCUCUUAUUUCAAAAUCACAUGCAAGUAGAAUUCAUUGGCAAGAGCAGGUGUUAUUCAGAACUGAUGCUGGCAGGCUAUUUACUAUUAAUUGUAUUUUCUAAAAACAAUCACCAGUAUUAUACACUAUCAAUGUCUGGGAGACUAACUAACUGGUUGCAUAGGUGCCAUUCAAUUUUUUUCAAGAGAGUACAAAAACUUCCGCUACCCUCCCUCCCCUAACAAGUUACAUAAAAUGAUUUUUGUCAAUUAGAGAAUAUAAUUUUUUCAUAAAAAAAUACAUAAACUGUUCAAUCCUAUCGAAAGUGAUGAAAAAUAGAUGACCCUAGGCAGAAUAUAAAAAAAUGUUUAUUGUACCAUGGCAAUCAUGUUACGAUCCUUUUCAUUGUGAACUGUGAAUGUUAAUUCUACAUUUGGAGGGAUUGGAUUGAAAAAUCAUUUAAAUAGUAAUUUUUAGUUUCUCUAUCAUUCAUUUUAACUUUAUUGUUUACUUGGAUGGUAGAUGUGCUGUGAAUAGUCACUAGACAUUAAAUCAGACAGGCCUAUUCUUCAUAAUUCUAAGAAACAUUUAUCAAGAUGGUUUAAAUUUAUUAAUUUAUAUAAAAGACCAUGUGUAUAGGGUUGCGAUUAAAUCACUUGGGCUGCUAAUUUGAAUCUGAUAUUGUGUAUGCCCAUCAAAGCCUCAGAGCAUGCAGCCCAAUCUUUCACCAGCCUCACCUUGUGCUGUAUAAAUGUGUGUGUUUAUUGUACUCUACUACCAAAUCCUAUUGUCAAUACAUUUCCUGCUGGGGUAAGUAUGGUAAACGCGGUCCACAGAGUCUUAAACGCAAUAGAUAGAACAUCUCGUGCAUGUUUAAUAACCAUGCUGAGAAAAUAUUAAUUUGUUUCGGAUGAUUUUUGCUGUAAAAUAAAUUUUUGAUAAGAAUUUUAUUUUCCGCCAUUUGUUUUUGGUAGUGUAUAUAUUUGUUGGACUGUAUUAUUUUAAUCAUUAAAUAUAUAUAUGGGGUACAUAAUGUACUUAAGUUCUGUUUUAAUUCGUAAGUAGGAAUACUUUUUAGAGCAUUAUCUAUCACAAUACCCUUAUUUUAUUAAAAUUAUACAUGAUUCCAACUAAAUUUUUAAUUGUAUUUUUUUUAUCCCAUCAUUUAGUUUUUAUUUUUAGAUAUGAGAACAUGUUUAUUAAAAUAAAACUGAUUUUAAUUAUUGUAGCUAAUUUCUAUUUUAACUUUUUAAAUGGAUUACUAUUAUUGUUUUACUUGAUAAUUACAAUAUAAUUAAAGUACCAUAUAUACUCUGUACUGUAUUAUAAUUAUGAUCAUUAAUGAUCAUUUGGACAUUUUAAUUAAACUGAUAAUGAGCAUUUGUAGCAGAAUACCUAAUGCCACCACUACUGAAACAGUACCAUUAAUAAUAUUACACACAACUUUUAAUGUUAUCAUUGUUAUCAAUACAUUAUUGAUAACAGGUACAAGAACUCAAUAAAAUGUUGUGUUCAAACAGGUUGGAUUGAAACCUGCAUCAGUACAGUGUAUGGUAAUAGGGGGCUUUCGUUUGUACUGUUUGGUGCAGCGGGAACGGUUUGGUUUCCCAAUCACAAGGUCAGAGUUUCAAUCCCUCGCGCUGCAUUUCGCUUGUGUCCUUGAGCAAGGUACUUUAUCUGCAUUGCUUCUCUCCACCCAGGAGUAUAAAUGGGUACCUUGUGGGGUUGAGGCAACACUUAACCCAAUGACCAGGGAAAAGAACUGCACUGUAUAACCUCAAGGAAGAGGCGCAUUAUAAAUGCCAGUAUCAUUCGAUAAAAUCUAGAACAUACAGGCAUCAUGUAAAAUUAUCUGCGCAUGUGAGGAUGUUUAUUUUUUGUCUGAAUUCUAGGAUGCAGUUUGGCCCAAAUCUAUGACAAUAGAAUCUGUCUUGGGCUCAAGCUACAUAAUCGAAAGCUCCCUAAUUGUACAGUUUCAAGUUGUCAGGAUAUGUAAAUAACAUUAUGUAAGACCUUGCAUGUUUUGUUGUGGAUAAACAAAUGCUCAUCAAAUUAAUCUUCAGUUUAUCAGUAGAUAAAAGAUGGACUACUUACACAAUUCUCUUGUUACCUCUAGCUUUCUUAGUUUUAUGUUAGUGAUGUGGUACAAUUGGAGGAGAAAAUAAUAAAACUUUAAAAA